Molecule: non-coding RNA, 177 nt
Filed under: bovine gut metagenome
Source: RNAcentral
AGGUGCGCUUUUUUUAGCCUCAAAAGGGAAGCCGGUGCAAAUCCGGAACUGUGCCCGCAGCUGUGAUGUUCUUGAACGGAAGGCCUCGAUGCCAUUGGUGAGAUGCCCGGUCAGACCGGGCCAGACGCACCGAGAAGGCGGCCUUGCCGGGACUCAGUCAGAAGACCUGCCCCUGUC